GGCUGGUCACAGUGCAGUGAUGUUUACAACUCAUUGAUCACAACCAGUUACAGAUUUCUUUGUUUCUUCUCCACUCCCACUGCUUUAUUUGACUGACCUUAA
This is an unclassified non-coding RNA of Microcebus murinus (gray mouse lemur), 102 nucleotides long. It matches the Rfam family "Y RNA". Rfam says of the family: Y RNAs are components of the Ro ribonucleoprotein particle (Ro RNP), in association with Ro60 and La proteins. The Y RNAs and Ro60 and La proteins are well conserved, but the function of the Ro RNP is not known. The record is from Ensembl. Lineage: Eukaryota; Metazoa; Chordata; Mammalia; Primates; Cheirogaleidae.